Molecule: RNA transcript, 2202 nt
Organism: Salvia miltiorrhiza (redroot sage)
Lineage: Eukaryota; Viridiplantae; Streptophyta; Magnoliopsida; Lamiales; Lamiaceae
Gene name: lysophospholipid acyltransferase 1-like
Exons: 9
Source: RefSeq, a predicted model, not a curated record
GAGCUAUGUGGAAUUGGAAGUAGUAGUUGCGUAGAUCUGUGCGUAAUAAUAAUACGCACAUUAAUUAGAUCCUAACAAUUGGUCCUUCCCUUCCCUCUAAAGUCUAACCGCUCUGUGUUCUUCCCUUCAAAAUCUCUCUCUACAAAAUACUCCACUCUGUCUCCUUCCAUCCUCGUUCAAGCCGCCGGCGCUUGGCCUUCAACUACAACCACUUCUCCUACUAACCAAAUCGCCACUUCUUUGUAUACACCUGCCCCCAAUAUGGAGCUGCCGGAGAUGGAUUCCAUGGCGUCCGCGAUCGGAGUCUCCGUCCCCGUUCUCCGCUUCAUUCUCUGCUUCGUCGUCACCAUUCCUGUCAGCUUCCUCCACCGAUUUGUCCCCGGCGGCCCCGCCGGCCGCCACUUCUACGCCGCCGCCACCGGGGCUAUUCUCUCCUACCUCUCCUUCGGAUUCUCGUCCAAUCUGCAUUUCAUCGUGCCCAUGCUCUUGGGUUACGCCUCCAUGGCGCUUUGUCGAAAAUACUCUGGGAUUAUUACUUUUUUCCUCGCCUUUGGAUACCUCAUCGGAUGCCAUGUAUACUACAUGAGUGGUGAUGCAUGGAAGGAAGGAGGUAUUGAUGCUACAGGUGCUCUGAUGGUGAUAACUCUGAAAAUUAUAUCAUGUGUCAUAAACUAUAAUGAUGGAAUUCUCAAAGAGGAUGAUCUACGUGAAGCACAAAAGAAAAAUCGGUUGCUGAAGAUGCCAUCAUUACUGGAGUACUUUGGGUACUGUCUAUGUUGUGGAAGUCACUUUGCCGGUCCUGUUUAUGAAAUGAAAGACUAUAUUGAAUGGACAGAGAGGAAAGGGAUCUGGCAACCUUCGGACAAGGGACGGUCCCCCUCUCCUUAUUGGGCAACUCUCAGGGCUCUUCUGCAAUCUGCUAUCUGCAUGGGCUUGUAUCUGUAUCUUGUACCACAUUUCCCACUUUCUCGAUUCACAGAACCAGUGUACCAAGAAUAUGGGUUCUUCAAGAAGUUGAGUUACCAGUACAUGUCAGGUUUCACUGCUCGUUGGAAGUAUUAUUUUAUUUGGUCAAUUUCAGAAGCUUCUACUAUUAUUUCCGGCCUGGGAUUCAGUGGCUGGACAGAUUCAAAUCCACCCAAACCAAAAUGGGACCGUGCAAUAAAUGUCGAUAUAUUAGGUCUCGAGUUGGCUAAGAGUGCAGUGCAGAUACCACUUGUGUGGAAUAUUCAAGUCAGCACCUGGCUUAGGCACUAUGUCUACGAGAGGCUGAUCCAGAAAGGUAAGAAACCAGGAUUCUUCCAGUUGCUAGCUACUCAAACAGUGAGUGCAGUGUGGCAUGGAUUGUAUCCUGGGUACAUCAUAUUCUUUGUUCAGUCUGCUUUAAUGAUUGCUGGUUCAAGAGUUCUUUAUAGAUGGCAACAAGCCAGCCAAGCAGGUCUAGUUAAGAAGCUACUCGGUUUGUUCAACUUCAGUUACACCCUUCUGGUGUUGAACUAUUCAGCCGUUGGUUUCAUGGUAUUAAGUUUGCACGAGACGCUCACUGCAUAUGGGAGUGUCUACUACAUUGGCACUGUUCUUCCAGUUGUCUUGCUCCUGCUAGGCAAAAUCAUCAAGCCAGCAAGGCCAGCUCGAUCAAAAGCUCGAAAAGCUGAGUGAGAACUCAAAUUGCAUCCCACCGUUUCAUCCAUGAGAGCUUUGGCGUGAGAUUAGUUAACACGGCGCCGAGCUUGGAGAAUUCGUUGGAGCUCUCGCGGCUUGGGCAGACUUCGUCGGAGUAGAGGAUGAAGCGGCGGCGGUGGAGGAGAUCCGGUCCUCUGAAAUCGGCGGCGUGGAGGAGGUCGGUCAGGUGGCGGAGGAUGAGGCGGCGGCGGCGGCAGAUCUGAUUUGAUGAGGCAGCGAUGGAUCUGAUCUGAUGAGGCUGCGGCGGUGGAUCUGAUCUGAUCGUUGCGCCGCCUCCUCCAUCGGCAGAUCUGAUCUUCGCCUCCUUCGAUUUCAGCCAUCGACAGAUCUGAUCUGAUAUGUGCUGCACGUAUGGCACUAAUAGUGCCAUAAGUGCACACUUCCCCCUAGGGUUUAGAUAUUCCAUUUAGGGUUUAGAUUAUUCAUUUGGGGUUUAGAUGUUCCAUUUAUGAUUUAGAUUAUCCAUUUAGGGUUUAGAUGUUCCAUUUAAAGUUUAAAUGAUGUUGUUGUUUCUGUAUU